UGCGCGCUCCUUAUGAGAAUCUAACGCCUGAUGACCUAUCACUGUCUCCCAUCACUCCCAGAUGGGACCGUCUAGUUGCAGGAAAACAAGCUCAGGGCUCCCACUGAUUCUACAUUAUGAUCAACUGCAUGGGGUCCUACAGGAGAAGACCAAGAGACAGAGACAGGGACCAGGGAAAAUGACCGAUACCAUUCCUUCUCAGGGAUGCUACACACCCAUGGGGCAGAGGAUAAGAGGUUCCUGAAGGCAUCACCCCUCUGGCCAUGGCUGGUGUGCAGACAAAGCUGGAGAUUUGGAGUAACCUGUUGUCCCACUGACUCUUAGACUGCCCCAGCUAAGAAGAACCAACUCCUCCUAUUACAGAUGAAAUAAACAAAGCUACUCAAGCUCUCUGGCAUCGCCCUGACGGUCAUCAUGUGCUUGACAUUUCCCUCCUGCCCCCCCGAUUUUCUGGAAAAGGGAGAAAGUGUGUGAAAAAAAAUGGACAAUAACUUCUGUUAACUUUAUAGAUGUCUGGUUCCUCCAUAUGAGGCUGUGCUUGAAUCAGUUUUGGAGAGAGGGUUUCUAAAGUCUCUCUAGAUUCUAUUAAUUUUGAUAGAGACAAUAAAAGGCAGCAGGACCAACUCUGUGUGGUGGGAGAUUUAGCAACCAUUAUAGUCACAAUAGCCACCACUUACUGAACACCGACCAUGUGACAAAGAACAAAUGUGCAUGAAUUAUGUCACAUUUUUCACAAGCACCCCCUUGAGUUGGGAGUUCACUCAUGAGGCAACUGAGGUUCAGGGAGAUGAAGUAACUCACCCUGUAGGUAGGAGGGCUGAGAUCUGGAUGUAGAUCUUUCCUCCAAAGCUUUGUCUUUUUCUUUCUACUAUAGCACACCAAAGAGAGUUCUAGAAAAAAUGAGAAUAAGAAAUUUACCUGUAAUCCUUGCUCAAGAAACUGAAGCUCUGAGGCCACAUUGUUCCAGCCUUUUGCAGCUCCUGCAUGUGGAUACCAGCACCAGCAGCUCCCGGACCAGGGGCCCCAGCUAAGCCCUCCCAGAGGAUGAUCUUGGCUUUGUACAUGGGGUGCCAAUAUCCUGUGAGUCCAACAGAGGGAAGACAUAAGAAUAUGGUCACCCAGAUCACUUUGGGAUUGGGCAGGUGACCCUUUCUGGCCAUGACAAAUGCUUCUGAGAAAGGCUUCCUUUCCUUGAGAAAUCGAAGAUGAGACAGCCUCUCUUCUUCUUCUGGACCUUAUUCCAUCUGGAUGUGACAUGUGGAACUGCUGCACCAUGUCACUAUCAGCCUGGAAGAUAAUCCGAGAUGAGCCGACCUUGAGCCUCCCAGGCCCUCCAGACUUUAAGUAAUGUGAGAUAAUUCCAUUUUAUUUUUCAAACUACUUUGGGUUGUGGAGUUUUGCUACUUGCAGCCAAUACAUCCCAACUGAUCCGCAGUCCCACCUUCUUGAGUUGGGGAUAGAAGACCCUUGUAACACACUAUACACUGAGAAGGUGGAAGAAACAGAAGGGGGAGGAAUGAUUCAAAAGUUACCGCAUGCUUUCACUUAAGACUUAUAGUCUUUUAAAAUCUUAUUUCAUUAGCCUAUUGCUAAACAAAACAAAACGGUUUUUUUUCAUUUGUUUUGUUCUUUUCUUUAUUUUUUGAGAUAGAAUCUCGCUCUAUCACCCAGGCUGCAGUGCAGUGGUGCCUCCCGGGUACAGGCGGGCACCACUACACCUGGCUAAUUUUUGUGAUUUUAGUAGAGACGGGGUUUCACCAUGUUGGCCAUGCUGGUCUUGAACUUCUGACCUCAAGUGAUCUGCCCACCUCGGCUUCCCAAAGUGUUGGGAUUACAGGUGUGAGCCACUGCAUGCCUGGCCACAAAAUGUUUAAUUUAUGGCACAAUGAAAUGAGGUUGUUUAUUCCUCAGAUUUGCUGAAAUCAGUAUUUUCUUUUAUUUCCAUCAACAGAGAUGCCACUAAUUCAAAUGGGAAUUCAUGUCUUCCUCUCUGCCUUGUCUGAAUAGUUAUGAAUGAUGGUAAUAGAUACUUUGGUUAUUCCUCGAGAAUGCUGUGAGACGAUGGCUGAGCUUUUAACUUCUGUGAUUUAGUGUGAUUCUAGAUCAUUGUUAGAAUUGACAGUAGAUAUAGCAAACUAAAAGCACACACCGGACCCGCUAGGAUAAGCCAGAAGAUGCUGCAGUAACAGCAUGAGUGACUCAGGGGCUUAGCAGCAAACAUUUACCUCUCACUUAUACGAAGUCCACCCUGAAUGUUCCAGGUAGCUCUCCUCCAUAUGGUGACUCAGUGGUCCCAGAUACUUUGCUCUGUGGCUCUCUCAACACAGGCUUCCAUGAUCACUAUGACAAGAGAUAGAGCUUCUCACCCCAGUGACAUAUCAGGAGUGUCAUUCCUGUUAUGUCAUUCCUGAUAUUCCACUGGCCAGCACUAAUCACAUGAUCUGCCUAACUGCAAAGUGAGCAGGGAUGUGUCAUUGAGGCAGGAGAAUAGGGUCUGGAGGCAGGGAACCUAAGGCCAUCUCACACUAACUUCAUAGAACUAAAUUGAAAGGAAAACCCUAACUUUCCAUGUCUAAGUAACAAAAGGAUCAGAGGCUACAACCUUUGCAAACCCCCACCUUUUCUGCAUGGCAGAUGGGAAAUUGAAAGUACCUCUAAUUGGUUGCAAAAAGCAACCAAUCAGACGUUUGGAUAGGAGCAUACCUUUGUAACUUCACUUCACCCUCUGAUGGUGGCUGCCCACAACCAAUUAGACUGAUUGAGAGGCAAGUCUUCGUUUGCAUAGAAUGACAACUUUGAAACUUCACUUUAGCCUCUGAUUGGUUGCUUCCCACAACCAAUCAGAUGUUUGCAUAGGAGUGUGACCUUUGUAACUUCACUUCAGCCUCUGAUUGGUUCUGCAACCAAUCAGACUGAUUGCGGGCCACCACUUCAUUUACAUGGGGUGAACACCUGGUGGCCAAUGGGAAACCUCUAGGGGGCAUUUGACCCGAGAAGAUCCUGUAUGGUGGCCAUUGAGCCCCUAUGCUCGGCUAGCUCCCACACUGUGGAGUGCACUUUCAUUUUCAAUAAAUCUCGGCUUUUGUUGCUUAAUUCUUUCCUUGCUUUGUUGGUGUGUUUUGUCCAAUUCUUUAUUCAACAUGCCAAGAACCUGGACACCCUCCACCGGUAACAUCAUCACCCAUGUGUCCUAACAGAGAGGAGGACUGGGUGCUUAAGUGGCAAAGUUUUGAAGGGCAUUACCUGCCCUGCUGGGUAGAGGGUGAAGAGAACUAUAAGGCCUUUCAUAACAUGAAUAGGAAUUGGGAAUUAGAAUUACUUAAUUAUGGCUCUUGUCUUGGUGGAUUUGAAAUGAGCUGUCUUUCGCUUAUUGUUAAGUCUCCCAGCUUGGACAAAUGUCCAUCUUGACCAUUGUCUUCCCUGUGACUCUUUUUUUUUUGAGACGGAGUCUAGCUCUGUCACCCAGGCUGGAGUGCAGUGGCGUGAUCUCGGCUCACUACAACAUCUGCCUCCCGGAUUCAAGUGAUUGUCCUGGCUCAGCCUUCUGAGUAGCUGGGAUUACAGGUGCACGCCACCAUGCCUGGCUAAUUUUUGUAUUUUUAGUAGUGACGUGGUUUUCACCAUGUUAUCAGGCUGGUCUCAAACUCCUGACCUCG
Pan troglodytes (chimpanzee) is the source of this 3656-nucleotide long non-coding RNA. RefSeq lists it as uncharacterized. Lineage: Eukaryota; Metazoa; Chordata; Mammalia; Primates; Hominidae. The transcript has 3 exons. The record is from RefSeq and is a predicted model, not a curated record.